AAUAGAUACCCUGGUAGUCCACGCCGUAAACGUUGGAUACUAGGUGUGGCGUCCCGAUCAACGGAUGCCGUGCCGAAGCUAACGCAUUAAGUAUCCCGCCUGGGAAGUACGGCCGCAAGGCUAAAACUCAAAGGAAUUGACGUGUCCCCGCACAAGCGGCGGAGCAUGCGGCUUAAUUCGAUGCAACCCGAAGAACCUUACCUGGGUUUGAAAUCAUGGGAAAAGCUGUAGAAAUACAGUGUCCGUAAGGGCCCAUGACAGGUGGUGCAUGGCUGUCGUCAGCUCGUGUCGUGAGAUGUUGGGUUAAGUCCCGCAACGAGCGCAACCCUUAUCCUAUGUUGCCAGCGGUUCGGCCGGGGACUCAUAGGAGACUGCCGGGGAUAACUCGGAGGAAGGUGGGGAUGACGUCAAGUCAUCAUGCCCCUUAUGUCCAGGGCUUCACGCAUGCUACAAUGGCCGGUACAGAGGGCUGCGAUCCCGGUGAGGGGGAGCGAAUCCCUAAAAGCCGGUCUCAGUUCGGAUUGGGGUCUGCAACUCGACCCC
RNAcentral lists this ribosomal RNA (543 nucleotides) under uncultured bacterium. Its description in RNAcentral is "bacterial SSU rRNA". It matches the Rfam family "Bacterial small subunit ribosomal RNA", at positions 777 to 1319 of the family's 1533-position model. The record is from RNAcentral.